GACGAACGCUGGCGGCGUGCUUAACACAUGCAAGUCGAACGAUGAAGCCUAGCUUGCUAGGUGGAUUAGUGGCGAACGGGUGAGUAAUACGUGAGUAACCUACCUUUAACUCUGGGAUAAGCCUGGGAAACUGGGUCUAAUACCGGAUACGACCAAUCUCCGCAUGGGGUGUUGGUGGAAAGCGUUAUGUAGUGGUUAUAGAUGGGCUCACGGCCUAUCAGCUUGUUGGUGAGGUAACGGCUAACCAAGGCGAAGACGGGUAGCCCACCUGAGAGGGUGACCGGCCACACUGGGACUGAGACACGGCCCAGACUCCUACGGGAGGCAGCAGUGGGGAGUAUGGCACAAUGAGCGCGAGCCUGAUGCAGCGGCGCCGCGUGAGGGAUAACGGCCUUCGGGUUGUAAACCUCUGUGAGCAGGGAAGAAGAGAAAUUGACGGUACCUGCAGAGAAAGCGCGGGCUAACUACGUG
This 471-nucleotide ribosomal RNA is filed under the name uncultured bacterium. RNAcentral describes it as "partial 16S ribosomal RNA". It matches the Rfam family "Bacterial small subunit ribosomal RNA", at positions 28 to 507 of the family's 1533-position model. The record is from RNAcentral.